GGACAGCCCAGAUCAGUAGGGAUAAGGCACUCAGCAGUGCUGUGGAGAGGAGUGGAGCUGGUGCCUGUUAUCGCAGCCGUGUACUUUGCAGGAGCUUUAAAUGCCACUGCUGGAGCACAAGAUUCAGAUGGCACGUGGAGGGAAGAGAGAAAAAUUAGGAGGAUCUUCAUUUCAAGCCCAUUGGAAGGAGUACAGUAGAGAGAACAUCGCCGUCUGACACAUCCUCAGUAACGUGUCACCCCUGCCUUGUGCUUUCGGGGACUGGCUCCGUCGGGCCUGCUGGUGUGGUCCUGCCAUGCCUCCGCCUUCCUCGUGCUCCCGUGCUUGCCCCGGUGUGGGGUUUUAAAAAAACAUCCAAAGACCCUCUUAUUUUGAUUCGAGAGCCAAUGCUGGAAAAAGUCAG
RNAcentral lists this long non-coding RNA (403 nucleotides) under Anser cygnoides (Swan goose). Its description in RNAcentral is "lncRNA (ENSACDG00005004252.1)". Lineage: Eukaryota; Metazoa; Chordata; Aves; Anseriformes; Anatidae. The record is from RNAcentral.